GAUGAACGCUGGCGGCGUGCCUAAUACAUGCCAGUCGAGCGAACGGACGAGAAGCUUGCUUCUCUGAUGUUAGCGGCGGACGGGUGAGUAACACGUGGAUAACCUACCUAUAAGACUGGGAUAACUUCGGGAAACCGGAGCUAAUACCGGAUGAUAUUUUGAACCGCAUGGUUCAAAAGUGAAAGACGGUCUUGCUGUCACUUAUAGAUGGAUCCGCGCUGCAUUAGCUAGUUGGUAAGGUAACGGCUUGCCAAGGCAACGAUGCAUAGCCGACCUGAGAGGGUGAUCGGCCACACUGGAACUGAGACACGGUCCAGACUCCUACGGGAGGCAGCAGUAGGGAAUCUUCCACAAUGGGCGAAAGCCUGACGGAGCAACGCCGCGUGAGUGAUGAAGGUCUUCGGAUCGUAAAACUCUGUUAUUAGGGAAGAACAUAUGUGUAAGUAACUGUGCACAUCUUGACGGUACCUAAUCAGAAAGCCACGGCUAACUACGUG
RNAcentral lists this ribosomal RNA (497 nucleotides) under uncultured bacterium. RNAcentral's name for it is "partial 16S ribosomal RNA". It matches the Rfam family "Bacterial small subunit ribosomal RNA", at positions 28 to 507 of the family's 1533-position model. The record is from RNAcentral.